UACGAAGGGGGCUAGCGUUGUUCGGAAUUACUGGGCGUAAAGCGCGCGCAGGCGGCUAUCCAAGUCAGUGGUGAAAGCCCGGAGCUCAACUCCGGAACUGCCAUUGAAACUGUUUAGCUUGAGGACGAGAGAGGUGAGUGGAAUUCCCAGUGUAGAGGUGAAAUUCGUAGAUAUUGGGAAGAACACCGGUGGCGAAGGCGGCUCACUGGCUCGUAUCUGACGCUCAGGCGCGACAGCGUGGGAUCGAAACAGG
Molecule: ribosomal RNA, 253 nt
Filed under: uncultured bacterium
Lineage: Bacteria
Description: partial 16S ribosomal RNA
Rfam family: Bacterial small subunit ribosomal RNA
Source: RNAcentral